Salvelinus namaycush (lake trout) is the source of this 1015-nucleotide long non-coding RNA. RefSeq lists it as uncharacterized. The transcript is spliced from 7 exons. The record is from RefSeq and is a predicted model, not a curated record. Lineage: Eukaryota; Metazoa; Chordata; Actinopteri; Salmoniformes; Salmonidae.
UAUCGUAGCCUAUGAGGUUUAUCCGAGGCGCGAUUAUUGCUAGUUGAAAACUUUACCCAAUACCCCGCCGAGACGACUUGAAAUAUAGUCGGCUUUGGCAAUUUUUGAUGGUCUCUCAGGAGACUGAUAUGCUUGUGAAAUUUUAACUCUGAAUCGUACAUAGUGUUACUAAUGCUACCUCUAACGGGCGCAUGAAACGCUAUUCAUCAUGGAAGUCUGAAAUGAUCCGUGUUGGAAAUUACUGGGUUUGUUCGACUAUGCAGCCGACAGUACAGAAACAUUGCUCGGAUCUUGUUCCCUGGACCUUGGAGGACUUUUGGUGUGGAUGAUGUUCAGUACGCCCUGUACAUUGCAAUGGAAGCACAGUGUGAUUUCACUGAGGUAUGUAUAAAUUAUGAAAUUCUCAUCACUAGUGGAUAUAAUGUUCUUUGGGAUACCCAUCCGGUUGUGUGAUUUUCUUUUUCAAAGGAAAACAUGCAGCAAAUUAGGUGAUGGUGGUGCCUAGUUCUCUUGCAGGACUUUCCCAUGCCGUCUGAAGAAGAGAGGUUGAAAGAUUGAAAAAGGCGGCGAAAACAAAACACACUACAGGAUGAUGUAGAGGUCAUAUCAGCAUCCAGCUCUGCAGGAUCAGACGAUACUGAAAACAAAAUGCACGGCGAACUGUGAACUGGGAAGCAGAUGUUCUUCUAAGGGACACCCUAGAGGCAGCAAGGUGGUGCGAACUCCAAACAUUUAAAGGCACUGUUUCCCUCCCUAGUGUAAUUGGGAUGGACGGGGAAGACCGUAUCACAACCCUUAAAGAACUACGGUUGUAUGAUGGCCUGGAUGAAGAGGAAAAUAUUCUCCUCUAGGAAACGUUCAUGUUCCAGUUACAGAGAGAUUAUGAGAUGUUCUAUGUGGAGGCAGUUGACAACAAGAAAAUGACUGUCUGUGUCACGCCCUGACCAUAGUUUGCUUUGUAUGUUUUAUGUUUUGUUUGGUCAGGGUGUGAUCUGUGUGGGCAUUCUAUGUUCUA